Molecule: ribosomal RNA, 579 nt
Filed under: uncultured bacterium
Lineage: Bacteria
Description: bacterial SSU rRNA
Rfam family: Bacterial small subunit ribosomal RNA
Source: RNAcentral
CCUACGGGAGGCAGCAGUGGGGAAUCUUGCGCAAUGGCCUAACGGCUGACGCAGCGACGCCGCGUGAGGGAUGACGCUCUUCGGAGUGUAAACCUCUUUUGCCUGAGACGAAUUGUCAGCAUUAGCUGAUUUGACUGUAUCGGGUGAAUAAGCACCGGCUAACUCCGUGCCAGCAGCCGCGGUAAUACGGGGGGUGCGAGCGUUGUCCGGAAUCACUGGGCGUAAAGGGCGCGUAGGUGGCCUGAUAAGGGUGUGAUGAAAGUCCGGGGCUCAACCCCGGAUCGGCCGUGCCGACUGUUAGGCUAGAGUGCUGUAGGGGCAGGCGGAAUUCCGGGUGUAGCGGUGGAAUGCGUAGAGAUUCGGAGGAAGACCGGUGGCGAAGGCGGCCUGCUGGGCAGAUACUGACACUGAGGCGCGACAGCGUGGGGAGCAAACAGGAUUAGAUACCCUGGUAGUCCACGCCGUAAACGAUGGGUACUAGGUGCCUGGGGGAGCGACCCCCUGGGUGCCGGCGCUAACGCAGGAAGUACCCCGCCUGGGGAGUACGGCCGCAAGGCUGAAACUCAAAGGAAUUGACGG